This 391-nucleotide unclassified non-coding RNA is filed under the name soil metagenome. RNAcentral's name for it is "partial contains 5.8S ribosomal RNA, internal transcribed spacer 2, and large subunit ribosomal RNA". The stretch from base 1 to 122 matches the Rfam family "5.8S ribosomal RNA", at positions 35 to 154 of the family's 154-position model. The record is from RNAcentral.
GAUGAAGAACGCAGCGAAAUGCGAUACUUGGUGUGAAUUGCAGAAUCCCGUGAACCAUCGAGUCUUUGAACGCAAGUUGCGCCCGAAGCCAUUAGGCCGAGGGCACGCCUGCCUGGGUGUCACACGUCGUUGCCCCCCCAUCUACUCCUUCGGGAUUGCGGGGGGCGGAUGAUGGCCUCCCGUGCGCCUCGUCGCGCGGUUGGCAUAAAUGCCAAGUCCUCGGCGACGCACGCCACGACAAUCGGUGGUUGCGAAACCUCGGUUGCCCGUCGUGUGCGGUCGUCGCGCAUCGAGGACUCGAAAAAAUUGCCGGGCUCCGGCUCGGCUUUCAACGCGACCCCAGGUCAGGCGGGGUUACCCGCUGAAUUUAAGCAUAUCAAUAAGCGGAGGA